CGCCACAGCCAUAUCACCCUGCAGCCCAAGCGUUUACUCACUGAAGCUAAGCAGGGAUGAGCCUGGUCAGUACCCAGAUGGAGGACCACAUGGAAAAAACGGGUUGCUGUUGAAA
Non-coding RNA from Danio rerio (zebrafish), 115 nucleotides. Lineage: Eukaryota; Metazoa; Chordata; Actinopteri; Cypriniformes; Danionidae. The record is from Rfam.